GGAUUAAUUUAUUGGUCGUGCUAUUGUACGUACUGAUAUUAUUGAUUCCUACCUUCUGACGAAUCAUGAUGUCAUUAAUUUGGUGUCAUGGGGAAUCAGGGCUGUUACUUUGAAAAAAUUAGAGUGUUUAAAGCAGGCUCACGCUUGAAUACAUUAGCAUGGAAUAACGAAAUAGGACGUUUGAUUCUAUUUUGUUGGUUUCUAGGACCGCUGUA
RNAcentral lists this ribosomal RNA (215 nucleotides) under Campeiostachys nutans. Its description in RNAcentral is "Elymus nutans partial small subunit ribosomal RNA". It matches the Rfam family "Eukaryotic small subunit ribosomal RNA", at positions 652 to 864 of the family's 1831-position model. The record is from RNAcentral. Lineage: Eukaryota; Viridiplantae; Streptophyta; Magnoliopsida; Poales; Poaceae.